RNAcentral lists this ribosomal RNA (468 nucleotides) under uncultured bacterium. RNAcentral's name for it is "partial 16S ribosomal RNA". It matches the Rfam family "Bacterial small subunit ribosomal RNA", at positions 28 to 507 of the family's 1533-position model. The record is from RNAcentral.
GACGAACGCUGGCGGCGUGCUUAACACAUGCAAGUCGAACGGAAAGGCCCUGCAUUUGUGGGGUGCUCGAGUGGCGAACGGGUGAGUAACACGUGAGUAACCUGCCCUUGACUUUGGGAUAACUUCAGGAAACUGGGGCUAAUACCGGAUAGGAGCUCCUGCUGCAUGGUGGGGGUUGGAAAGUUUCGGCGGUUGGGGAUGGACUCGCGGCUUAUCAGCUUGUUGGUGGGGUAGUGGCUUACCAAGGCUUUGACGGGUAGCCGGCCUGAGAGGGUGACCGGCCACAUGGGGACUGAGGGACGGCCCAGACGCCUACGGGAGGCAGCAGUGGGGAAUAUUGCACAAUGGGCGGAAGCCUGAUGCAGCAACGCCGCGUGCGGGAUGACGGCCUUCGGGCUGUAAACCGCUUUCGCCUGUGACGAAGCGUGAGUGACGGUAAUGGGUAAAGAAGCACCGGCUAACUACGUG